GAGUUUGAUCAUGGCUCAGAUUGAACGCUGGCGGCAUGCCUUACACAUGCAAGUCGAACGGCAGCACGGGAGCUUGCUCCUGGUGGCGAGUGGCGAACGGGUGAGUAAUGCAUCGGAACGUAUCCUGGAGUGGGGGAUAACGUAGCGAAAGUUACGCUAAUACCGCAUAUUCUGUGAGCAGGAAAGCGGGGGGACCUUCGGGCCUCGCGCUCUUGGAGCGGCCGAUGUCGGAUUAGCUAGUUGGUGAGGUAAAGGCUCACCAAGGCGACGAUCCGUAGCAGGUCUGAGAGGAUGAUCUGCCACACUGGAACUGAGACACGGUCCAGACUCCUACGGGAGGCAGCAGUGGGGAAUUUUGGACAAUGGGGGCAACCCUGAUCCAGCCAUGCCGCGUGAGUGAAGAAGGCCUCGG
RNAcentral lists this ribosomal RNA (412 nucleotides) under bacterium enrichment culture clone ALO1_GLFRUDD03F419K. RNAcentral's name for it is "bacterial SSU rRNA". It matches the Rfam family "Bacterial small subunit ribosomal RNA", at positions 9 to 420 of the family's 1533-position model. The record is from RNAcentral.